Molecule: ribosomal RNA, 253 nt
Filed under: uncultured bacterium
Lineage: Bacteria
Description: partial 16S ribosomal RNA
Rfam family: Bacterial small subunit ribosomal RNA
Source: RNAcentral
GACAGAGGUGCCGAGCGUUAGGCGGAAUCACUGGGCUUAAAGCGUGUGUAGGCGGGUCGUUAAGUGUCUUGUGAAAUCCCACCGCUCAACGGUGGAACUGCUGGGCAUACUGGCGAUCUUGAGCCACCUAGGGGCAGACGGAACAAGCGGUGGAGCGGUGAAGUGCGUAGAUAUCGCUUGGAACGCCGACGGUGAAAACAGUCUGCUGGGGGUGUGCUGACGCUGAGACACGAAAGCCAGGGGAGCGAACGGG